Molecule: ribosomal RNA, 496 nt
Filed under: uncultured bacterium
Lineage: Bacteria
Description: partial 16S ribosomal RNA
Rfam family: Bacterial small subunit ribosomal RNA
Source: RNAcentral
GAUGAACGCUGGCGGCGUGCCUAAUACAUGCAAGUCGAGCGAACAGACGAGGAGCUUGCUCCUCUGACGUUAGCGGCGGACGGGUGAGUAACACGUGGAUAACCUACCUAUAAGACUGGGAUAACUUCGGGAAACCGGAGCUAAUACCGGAUAAUAUAUUGAACCGCAUGGUUCAAUAGUGAAAGACGGUUUUGCUGUCACUUAUAGAUGGACCCGCGCCGCAUUAGCUGUUUGUUAGGUAACGGCUUACCAAGGCAACGAUGCGUAGCCGACCUGAGAGGGUGAUCGGCCACACUGGAACUGAGACACGGUCCAGACUCCUACGGGAGGCAGCAGUAGGGAAUCUUCCGCAACGGGCGAAAGCCUGACGGAGCAACGCCGCGUGAGUGAUGAAGGUCUUCGGAUCGUAAAACUCUGUUAUUAGGGAAGAACAAAUGUGUAAGUAACUAUGCACGUCUUGACGGUACCUAAUCAGAAAGCCACGGCUAACUACGUG